CGCGUAGGCGGCCUAUUAAGUCUGGAGUGAAAGUCCUGCUUUCAAGGUGGGAAUUGCUUUGGAUACUGAUGGGCUGGAGUGCAGGAGAGGAAAGCGGAAUUACCGGUGUAGCGGUGAAAUGCGUAGAGAUCGGUAGGAACACCAGUGGCGAAGGCGGCUUUCUGGACUGAAACUGACGCUGAGGCGCGAAAGCGUGGGGAGCAAACA
RNAcentral lists this ribosomal RNA (207 nucleotides) under uncultured bacterium. Its description in RNAcentral is "partial 16S ribosomal RNA". It matches the Rfam family "Bacterial small subunit ribosomal RNA", at positions 568 to 774 of the family's 1533-position model. The record is from RNAcentral.